CUAGUAGAAGCAUGUCGCGACCUCUUCCUCCCGCCCUUCAUUCUCGCUAUCUGUGCAAAACAAACAAAUUUAACAAUACUUGUCAUAAUAAGUAAAGCAUUUUCACAUAUGAGCAUAUCAUUUGAGUCAUUUUUCUACUUAAUCCGGAAAUUUCCAAGCAAUCAUUUAGCAACUAACGAUAUCAGAAGAAUAAUAUAGAGAAUUAACAAAAAGGACAACUUGUAAGUUCUAACUCAACCGUCAUUUCUAUAUCAAGACUCUAAAACCUCUAAUUAUUUUGAAGUACCAAAAUAGCAACAUUGCAUGUGAAUGUGAUUAACAAUUUCUAGCUGUGUUAAGGUCAAUUUAAGAACUAAUCCACUACCAAGCAUUGUGCAAAAACUUGCAAAGCAACCAUCAUCACUAGCAAACAAAAACAAGAAACAACUUUCCUAAUUACAAAACAUGAAGAAUAUGAAACUCAAAUCUAUCUUGAUCUUUUCCAAUUCUCAACAAAUCA
Molecule: long non-coding RNA, 499 nt
Filed under: Lotus japonicus
Lineage: Eukaryota; Viridiplantae; Streptophyta; Magnoliopsida; Fabales; Fabaceae
Description: long non-coding RNA (LJAP_LNC001849)
Source: RNAcentral